CGUGAGUGAUGAAGGUCUUCGGAUUGUAAAACUCUGUUGUGAGGGAUAAAUGGUUAAGAUAGGAAAUGAUUUUAAUUUGAUAGUACCUUACUAGAAAGCAACGACUAACUUCGUGCCAGCAGUCGCGGUAAUACGAAGGUUGCAAGCGUUAUCCGGAAUUAUUGGGCGUAAAGAGUGAGCAGGCGGCUUGCUAAGUUUGAGGUUAAAUCGUUGGGCUCAACCCAAUCUCGCUUCAAAAACUGGCAGGCUAGAGUAUGUGAGAGGUAAGUAGAACUCCAUGUGUAGCGGUGAAAUGCGUAGAUAUAUGGAAGAAUACCAGUGGCGAAGGCGGCUUACCAGCACAAUACUGACGCUCAGUCACGAAAGUAUAGGGAGCAAAUAGGAUUAGAUACCCUAGUAGUCUAUACCGUAAACGAUGAUUACUAAAUGUUCGAGAGAUCGAGCGCUGAAGCUAACGCAUUAAGUAAUCCGCCUGGGAAGUACGAUCGCAAGAUUGAAACUUAAAGCAAUUGACGGGGUCCCGCACAAGCAGUGGAGCAUGUGGUUUAAUUCGACGCUACGCGAAAAACCUUACCAGGUCUUGACAUGUUAGUUAAUAGUGUUGAAAGACAUGAAAGUGUGCUAUCACAGGUGGUGCAUGGUUGUCGUCAGCUCGUGUCGUGAGAUGUUAGGUUAAGUCCUGCAACGAGCGCAACCCUUGUCCUUAGUUGCCAUCAUUCAGUUGGGAACUCUAGGGAGACUGCCGAUGUUAAAUCGGAGGAAGGUGGGGAUGAUGUCAAAUCAUCAUGCCCUUUAUGACCUGGGCGACACACGUGCUACAAUGGUCGGUACAAAGAGACGCGAACCCGCGAGGGUGGGCAAAUCUCAGAAAGCCGAUCUCAGUACGGAUUGAAGUCUGCAACUCGACUUCAUGAAGCUGGAAUUGCUAGUAAUCGCGAAUCAGCCAUGUCGCGGUGAAUACGUUCUCGGGGCUUGUACACACCGCCCGUCAAACCAUGAGAGCUGGUAAUACUUGAAGCCGUUAUCCUAACCGUAAGGAGGGAGACGUCUAAGGUAGGACUGGUGAUUGGGGUUAAGUCGUAACAAGGUAUCCCUACGGGAACGUGGGGAUG
RNAcentral lists this ribosomal RNA (1112 nucleotides) under human gut metagenome. Its description in RNAcentral is "bacterial SSU rRNA". It matches the Rfam family "Bacterial small subunit ribosomal RNA", at positions 400 to 1520 of the family's 1533-position model. The record is from RNAcentral.